GUCAAGGGGUGCUGCCUCGAUGGUGGCUGAGAUCAUACCCUUCAGAACCUGAUGCGGGUAAUGCCGACGUAGGAAUGGAUAGU
Molecule: non-coding RNA, 83 nt
Filed under: uncultured Prevotella sp.
Lineage: Bacteria; Pseudomonadati; Bacteroidota; Bacteroidia; Bacteroidales; Prevotellaceae
Source: RNAcentral